AUGCAGCGACGCCACGNUGAGGGAUGACGGCCUUCGGGUUGUAAACCUCUUUCAGCAGGGAAGAAGCGAGAGUGACGGUACCUGCAGAAGAAGCGCCGGCUAACUACGUGCCAGCAGCCGCGGUAAUACGUAGGGCGCAAGCGUUGUCCGGAAUUAUUGGGCGUAAAGAGCUCGUAGGCGGUCUGUCGCGUCUGGUGUGAAAUCCCAUGGCUCAACUGUGGGCUUGCAUCGGGUACGGGCAGACUAGAGUGCUGUAGGGGAGACUGGAAUUCCUGGUGUAGCGGUGGAAUGCGCAGAUAUCAGGAGGAACACCGAUGGCGAAGGCAGGUCUCUGGGCAGUUACUGACGCUGAGGAGCGAAAGCAUGGGGAGCGAACAGGAUUAGAUACCCUGGUAGUCCAUGCCGUAAACGUUGGGCACUAGGUGUGGGGACAGUUCCACUGUUUCUGUGCCGCAGCUAACGCAUUAAGUGCCCCGCCUGGGGAGUACGGCCGCAAGGCUA
Molecule: ribosomal RNA, 501 nt
Filed under: uncultured bacterium
Lineage: Bacteria
Description: bacterial SSU rRNA
Rfam family: Bacterial small subunit ribosomal RNA
Source: RNAcentral